GGCUGAGGCUGAGCUGAGGGGUCUCCAGACCUGUGGGUGGGAUCACGCAGCCAUAGAGCCGAGCCCUCAUCCUCUGGCUGGCUGGCC
RNAcentral lists this microRNA precursor (87 nucleotides) under Ovis aries (sheep). RNAcentral's name for it is "miRNA (ENSOARG00000023459.1)". Lineage: Eukaryota; Metazoa; Chordata; Mammalia; Artiodactyla; Bovidae. The record is from RNAcentral.